GUUGGCCAAAGGAGCACUUCAGAGGUGAGCAGUGCCUAUCCUCUGAGGACGUGACAGCAGCUGCCCUGGCCAUUGGGAGCCAGCUGUCCGGGUGUUUUGCAUCAGCCAGAUAUGGGGAUGCGAAGCCACACGCAUGUAUUUUCUGCUCCACCUGGUCUCCUAUCUGUAGCCCAACGGGGGACGUGUCUGUGAGCCUUCGGGAGACUCAGCCCCAGCAGCAUCGUUUGGGUGUGGGCAGGAGUUCAGUGCUCCCAGCUCAGGCCGCCGUCACCCGGGGACGAGCAUCAGCCUUUCGUGAUGGGCUGUGGGACCAGCGACCUCUGCUGCUGCAACAC
This 335-nucleotide long non-coding RNA is filed under the name Gallus gallus (chicken). Lineage: Eukaryota; Metazoa; Chordata; Aves; Galliformes; Phasianidae. The record is from RNAcentral.